Molecule: ribosomal RNA, 514 nt
Filed under: uncultured Entrophosporaceae
Lineage: Eukaryota; Fungi; Glomeromycota; Glomeromycetes; Entrophosporales; Entrophosporaceae
Description: SSU rRNA
Rfam family: Eukaryotic small subunit ribosomal RNA
Source: RNAcentral
AGCAGCCGCGGUAAUUCCAGCUCCAAUAGCGUAUAUUAAAGUUGUUGCAGUUAAAAAGCUCGUAGUUGAAUUUCGGGAUUGACGUGAUGGUCAUGCCUUAAGGGGUAUGAACUGUUACAGUUGAUUUCUCACCUUCUGGAGAAACUUGAUGUCCUUUAUUGGGUGUCUUGCGGAUCCAGGACCUUUACCUUGAAAAAUUAGAGUGUUUAAAGCAGGCAUUUUUGCUCGAAUACAUUAGCAUGGAAUAAUAGAAUAGGACGGCAUGGUUCUAUUUUGUUGGUUUCUAGGAUCACCGUAAUGAUUAAUAGGGAUAGUUGGGGGCAUUAGUAUUCAAUUGUCAGAGGUGAAAUUCUUGAAUUUAUUGAAGACUAACUACUGCGAAAGCAUUUGCCAAGGAUGUUUUCAUUAAUCAAGAACGAAAGUUAGGGGAUCGAAGACGAUCAGAUACCGUCGUAGUCUUAACCAUAAACUAUGCCGACUAGGAAUCAGACGAUGUUAAUUUUUAAUGUACUCG